UUGAAGUUAUAGUGCAAAACAACUCUUUGAAGACCAAUUAUUCCGUUGUAGAACAAAGUACUUACUUGAAUAGUCAUUUAUUUUUAAAAAAGAAAGAAAUGAUCCAAGUGUUAGAUAUUUCGGUAAUAUUAAAUGGAUCCAGGUCUAAAUCGUGAAUGAAGUCACUUUCCUUAAAAGUAUUCCAAGCACUCUUUUUGUUGUCUUAGAGUUGGAAAGUAAGAA
RNAcentral lists this long non-coding RNA (222 nucleotides) under Lathyrus oleraceus (garden pea). Its description in RNAcentral is "Pisum sativum (pea) long non-coding RNA (PSAT_LNC026175)". The record is from RNAcentral. Lineage: Eukaryota; Viridiplantae; Streptophyta; Magnoliopsida; Fabales; Fabaceae.